This 478-nucleotide ribosomal RNA is filed under the name uncultured bacterium. RNAcentral describes it as "partial 16S ribosomal RNA". It matches the Rfam family "Bacterial small subunit ribosomal RNA", at positions 28 to 507 of the family's 1533-position model. The record is from RNAcentral.
GAUGAACGCUGGCGGCGUGCUUAACACAUGCAAGUCGAACGAGAAGUGAAGACGGAAACCUUCGGGCGGAAGGCUUUAUUUCGAGUGGCGGACGGGUGAGUAACGCGUGGGUAACCUGCCUCAUACAGGGGGAUAACAGUUGGAAACGACUGUUAAUACCGCAUAAGACCACAGCACCGCAUGGUGCGGGGGUAAAAACUCCGGUGGUAUGAGAUGGACCCGCGUUCGAUUAGCCAGUUGGCGGGGUAACGGCCCACCAAAGCGACGAUCGAUAGCCGAUCUGAGAGGAUGACCGGCCACAUUGGGACUGAGACACGGCCCAAACUCCUACGGGAGGCAGCAGUGGGGAAUAUUGCACAAUGGGGGAAACCCUGAUGCAGCGACGCCGCGUGAGUGAAGAAGUAUUUCGGUAUGUAAAGCUCUAUCAGCAGGGAAGAAAAUAACGGUACCUGAGGAAGAAGCCCCGGCUAACUACGUG